Ribosomal RNA from Pseudoramibacter alactolyticus ATCC 23263, 117 nucleotides. The record is from Rfam. NCBI's taxonomy places the organism in Bacteria, Bacillati, Bacillota, Clostridia, Eubacteriales, Eubacteriaceae.
UUCCGUGACAACGGCAAAGAGGUCACACCUGUUCCCAUCCCGAACACAGCAGUUAAGCUCUUUAGCGUUGAAAGUACUUGGCGGGCAGCUGCCCGGGAGGAUAGAACGUUGCGGGAU